RNAcentral lists this ribosomal RNA (373 nucleotides) under uncultured bacterium. Its description in RNAcentral is "bacterial SSU rRNA". It matches the Rfam family "Bacterial small subunit ribosomal RNA", at positions 521 to 896 of the family's 1533-position model. The record is from RNAcentral.
UAAUACGGAGGGUGCAAGCGUUAUCCGGAUUCACUGGGUUUAAAGGGUGCGUAGGUGGGCUAGUAAGUCAGUGGUGAAAUCUCCGGGCUUAACCCGGAAACUGCCAUUGAUACUAUUAGUCUUGAAUGUCGUGGAGGUAAGCGGAAUAUGUCAUGUAGCGGUGAAAUGCUUAGAUAUGACAUAGAACACCGAUAGCGUAGGCAGCUUGCUACACGAAUAUUGACACUGAGGCACGAAAGCGUGGGGAUCAAACAGGAUUAGAUACCCUGGUAGUCCACGCCCUAAACGAUGGAUACUCGACAUCAGCGAUACACUGUUGGUGUCUGAGCGAAAGCAUUAAGUAUCCCACCUGGGAAGUACGACCGCAAGGUUG